UACGUAGGGGGCUAGCGUUGUCCGGAAUCAUUGGGCGUAAAGCGCGUGUAGGCGGUCCGGUAAGUCCGCUGUGAAAGUCGGGGGCUCAACCCUCGGAUGCCGGUGGAUACUGUCGGGCUAGAGUGCGGGAGAGGCGAGUGGAAUUCCUGGUGUAGCGGUGAAAUUCGUAGAUAUCGGGAGGAACACCGGUGGCGAAGGCGGCGAUCUGGGUAGAUACUGACGCUGAGGUGCGAAAGCGUGGGGAGCAAACAGG
RNAcentral lists this ribosomal RNA (253 nucleotides) under uncultured bacterium. RNAcentral describes it as "partial 16S ribosomal RNA". It matches the Rfam family "Bacterial small subunit ribosomal RNA", at positions 524 to 776 of the family's 1533-position model. The record is from RNAcentral.